Molecule: ribosomal RNA, 301 nt
Filed under: uncultured bacterium
Lineage: Bacteria
Description: partial 16S ribosomal RNA
Rfam family: Bacterial small subunit ribosomal RNA
Source: RNAcentral
CAGUCGCCACGGGAAUACGGAGGGUGCAAGCGUUAUCCUGAUUUAUUGGGUUUAAAGGGUCCGUAGGCGGAUCUGUAAGUCAGUGGUGAAAUCUCACAGCUUAACUGUGAAACUGCCAUUGAUACUGCAGGUCUUGAGUAAAUUUGAAGUGGCUGGAAUAAGUAGUGUAGCGGUGAAAUGCAUAGAUAUUACUUAGAACACCAAUUGCGAAGGCAGGUCACUAAGAUUUAACUGACGCUGAUGGACGAAAGCGUGGGGAGCGAACAGGAUUAGAUACCCCAGUAGUCCCUGUCUCUUAUAC